AUGAAUUUCAGUAGACUUCCCAUGACAAAAGUAGAAAACAGUAUUGCAAGAUGAUAAUUUAAAUAAAAGAAGGAAACAAAAUGGAGCAGAAGCAGUUCUUUAUUUUGGUGAAUUAGGAACAUUAGGUUUGGUUAGAGAAGGAUAAGGAGGCAGAUGGCGCUCGCUGCCGAACAUCUGAAGGAGACGUUUGGGCAUGUGAAGGCUUAUGGGCAGACCCUUGACUGUAUUCAGUAAGUUUUGGACUCAAAGGAGGUGCUCCUACAUGUUCAGCCAUCUCUGAGGAGGCAAAAUCAGCAGGUCAGCCUGGGCCACCAAGCCCGGUGGACAGAAGGAGCACUGAAACAGGAGUCUGAAGACUUUGGUUUCCAUUCCAUAUUUGGGUAAGUUGUCUUACUUUCUCUGGGCCUCAUUUUCUUCUUUUAUAAAGUGGGAAUCAAAUGUGAUAAUGAAAGUGCUCUUUAUGUAUUAUAAGGCACUCUGGAAUGGUAAGAUACUGGGCUUGGAUCCCUAGUCUUUAUAGUUUCAUUCAAAACUUUCUCUUUUUUCCUUUCUUUUUCCUCCAUAGAGAUGUAUCUCUAGCCAGGUCAAAAUGUAUUUGCUGUGAAUAUCCACCAACGGGAUUAUUAUGGAUCACAAAUGGAAGCAAGAGAAAAGGAAGAGUGAGAAAGCAAGAUGACAUCGACUUCGCUCGGCUGCACUGGAGGGAAAGUCCUCUGUGGUGCCGAGGAACACCGGUGUGCCCUUCUGCAGCUGGCACCUCUGGGGGACAUCAGCCUCCGAGGUGGCCUCUUACCAACACGGGCGAGACAGCCACAUUCCUGGUCCUCUGACCCGCGACUCCACCAGCGGGAAGGACG
Molecule: long non-coding RNA, 857 nt
Filed under: Microcebus murinus (gray mouse lemur)
Lineage: Eukaryota; Metazoa; Chordata; Mammalia; Primates; Cheirogaleidae
Description: lncRNA (ENSMICG00000048445.1)
Source: RNAcentral